Haliotis rubra (blacklip abalone) is the source of this 180-nucleotide long non-coding RNA. RefSeq lists it as uncharacterized. The record is from RefSeq and is a predicted model, not a curated record. The transcript has 3 exons. NCBI's taxonomy places the organism in Eukaryota, Metazoa, Mollusca, Gastropoda, Lepetellida, Haliotidae.
ACUAUGUUAUAUUUUUACAAUUAAUGGAAAAUGACAAAAUACCCAACUGAGUUUGAGUGAGGUGGGUACAAUUUAUUUGGUUACUCAAAGAAAAAUUAGUAUACCCAAUUGAGAUAAACACAAGCGCGUACAUAACUCAAAGACCCAAAAAGUUAUCUGUAGCUCUGCAAUUGCAAAAUG